Molecule: long non-coding RNA, 324 nt
Filed under: Elaeis guineensis (African oil palm)
Lineage: Eukaryota; Viridiplantae; Streptophyta; Magnoliopsida; Arecales; Arecaceae
Description: long non-coding RNA (EGUI_LNC002358)
Source: RNAcentral
CCCCGGCCUACCCAAACCUCUUACGUUCCAUGAUAGGAUUGCCAUUUAGAUUGUUAUAAAUUCUUCUACAAUCUUUUUUUAUCGUUUUACUGGCUCUGUGCAUUUUGAUACCCAGCCUGCUGUAGUUGCACUCGGGAACCAUGUCCCCUGAUAACACGAAUGCACACAGACAAAAAUGCAAAGAGCCCUACCCUCUUUCCAAUAACAUACCUCAUUUUGUUAUAAUACUCUACAAGGAAGGGGGUCAAAUGUAAGUUCAUACAUUUCAUGUUUGCGUGGAGGUUUGAACAAAACACUGCUUCCCUCCUCUCAUUAUAAGAACCC